RNAcentral lists this long non-coding RNA (853 nucleotides) under Malus domestica (apple). Its description in RNAcentral is "long non-coding RNA (MDOM_LNC011300)". The record is from RNAcentral. Lineage: Eukaryota; Viridiplantae; Streptophyta; Magnoliopsida; Rosales; Rosaceae.
UUCAUAACCAGCCACUUCCCACUCUGUGCCGCAACCAUUCUACAACUCCAGCCACCAUUCUACACCUUCAUACACCAUUCUACACCUCCAUACACCACCCAUACCCCUUGCCGCACCACCAUACCAUCCUAACUCCCUUCCUAAACCAAAAUCACAUCCAAAAAUCCCCUAAACCCUCUCUGCCGCAGCAAGGAGAAGAAGAAAAGAGGAGCUUGACGUGCAGAAAUUCAAAGUGGAAUUGUUGGGCGUUUUAGGUGUAAUCUUUCUUAUGUCUUCGAUGUUUCAAUUCAAUAAACUUUGUGUUGUGAGUAUGAGGAACUAAACCCCUUUAGUUGGCUUGCAAUAUGAUUUGAUUACAUUCAGUUGUUAUUUCAUGAGUUGUGGAUUCAAUUCGUUCAUCUAUUUGAUUGAUAACUUAUUUGUGUAUGUUGAUUGAGAGUGCACGCUUAGUUUUCAUGCAUGAAUAUGAUGCUAGAUUAUGAGGGAGUUUCACCUAAUAGUUACAAUCUUAUAAUCACAAGUAGUGAAGAUCGCUUGAAAACGAUCGUGUUGAAUGAAUUCUUGGCAUAAGUUUCAUGCAAUUCAUAGUAACAAAUGCUUCGUCAAUGCUUAUGUUUUUCAUAGAACGUAAUGAUUCUUGCUUGUAUCUCUAUUAUGCAAUUCAUGUAGGGAACUUGUAGGGAAUGUUUUGGGUUGUCGUAUGCAAUCAUCCAACUCAAUAACUCGUGGAAAAACUGAGGGUUAAUUAGUGCAAUUCACGGUUAAUUUGGGGCGUUGAGUAUUCAUAAUUUAUUGAAAGAACAACUGAAAAUCGUUUUGUUUGCAAGUGUGACAUGUGUGGAGAAGAACCUCC